Molecule: ribosomal RNA, 909 nt
Filed under: uncultured bacterium
Lineage: Bacteria
Description: bacterial SSU rRNA
Rfam family: Bacterial small subunit ribosomal RNA
Source: RNAcentral
ACACAUGCAAGUCGAGGGGCAGCAUCGCGAUAGCUUGCUAUUGCGGAUGGCGACCGGCGCACGGGUGAGUAACGCGUAUCCAACCUUCCCGCAACUGGGGAAUAACCUUGCGAAAGUAAGACUAAUACCCCAUGGUCUCCACGGAUGGCAUCUGAAGUGGAGUAAAGGUUUCGGCCGGUUGCGGAUGGGGAUGCGUCCGAUUAGCUUGACGGCGGGGUAACGGCCCACCGUGGCAUCGAUCGGUAGGGGUUCUGAGAGGAAGGUCCCCCACAUUGGAACUGAGACACGGCCCAAACUCCUACGGGAGGCAGCAGUGAGGAAUAUUGGUCAAUGGGCGGAAGCCUGAACCAGCCAAGUAGCGUGAAGGACGACUGCCCUAUGGGUUGUAAACUUCUUUUAUGCGGGGAUAAAGUUCGCCACGUGUGGCGUUUUGCAGGUACCGCAUGAAUAAGGACCGGCUAAUUCCGUGCCAGCAGCCGCGGUAAUACGGAAGGUCCAGGCGUUAUCCGGAUUCAUUGGGUUUAAAGGGAGCGUAGGCCGCCUUUUAAGCGUGUUGUGAAAUGUAGGGGCUCAACCCCUGCACUGCAGCGCGAACUGGAGGGCUUGAGUACACACAAAGUAGGCGGAAUUCAUGGUGUAGCGGUGAAAUGCUUAGAUAUCAUGAAGAACCCCGAUUGCGAAGGCAGCUUACUGGAGUGUAACUGACGCUGAAGCUCGAAAGCGCGGGUAUCGAACAGGAUUAGAUACCCUGGUAGUCCGCGCGGUAAACGAUGGAUGCCCGCUGUUUGCCAAUUUGGUAAGCGGCCAAGCGAAAGCGUUAAGCAUCCCACCUGGGGAGUACGCCGGCAACGGUGAAACUCAAAGGAAUUGACGGGGGCCCGCACAAGCGGAGGAACAUGUGGUUUAAUU